This 73-nucleotide transfer RNA is filed under the name Colletotrichum graminicola M1.001. Its description in RNAcentral is "tRNA-Val (CAC) (tRNA-Val-CAC-3-1)". It matches the Rfam family "tRNA". Rfam says of the family: Transfer RNA (tRNA) molecules are approximately 80 nucleotides in length. The record is from Rfam by way of RNAcentral. Lineage: Eukaryota; Fungi; Ascomycota; Sordariomycetes; Glomerellales; Glomerellaceae.
GUCUUGGUGGGUCAGUGAUAAAAGCACCUCACUCACAAUGAGCAGACCGGGCGGUCGAUCCGCUCUCGAGGCA